GACGUAGGGGGCGAGCGUUGUCCGGAAUUACUGGGCGUAAAGAGCACGUAGGCGGAUAAUUAAGUCAGAUGUGAAAGACCGGGGCCCAACCUCGGGGUUGCAUCUGAAACUGGAUAUCUUGAGGGCAGGAGAGGAAAGUGGAAUUCCUGGUGUAGCGGUGAAAUGCGUAGAAAUCAGGAGGAAUACCAGUGGCGAAGGCGACUUUCUGGACUGACCCUGACGCUGAGGUGCGAAAGCGUGGGUAGCAAACAGGAUUAGAUACCCUGGUAGUCCACGCUGUAAACGAUGGAUACUAGGUGUGGGAGGUAUCGACCCCUUCCGUGCCGGAGCUAACGCAAUAAGUAUCCCGCCUGGGGAGUACGGUCGCAAGGCUGAA
Molecule: ribosomal RNA, 376 nt
Filed under: uncultured bacterium
Lineage: Bacteria
Description: bacterial SSU rRNA
Rfam family: Bacterial small subunit ribosomal RNA
Source: RNAcentral